ACGGGAGGCAGCAGUGGGGAAUAUUGCACAAUGGGCGCAAGCCUGAUGUAGCGAUGCCGCGUGAGGGAAGAAGGUUUUCGGAUUGUAAACCUCUGUCAUCGGGGACGAUAAUGACUGUACCCGAGAAGGAAGCUCCGGCUAACUACGUGCCAGCAGCCGCGGUAAUACGUAGGGAGCAAGCGUUAUCCGGAAUUACUGGGUGUAAAGGGAGUGUAGGCGGGACUGUAAGUCAGAUGUGAAAUAUGCCGGCUCAACUGGCAGACUGCAUUUGAAACUGCGGUUCUUGAGUGAAGUAGAGGUAAGCGGAAUUCCUAGUGUAGCGGUGAAAUGCGCAGAUAUUAGGAGGAACAUCAGUGGCGAAGGCGGCUUACUGGGCUUUAACUGACGCUGAAGCUCGAAGGUGCGGGUAUCGAACAGGAUUAGAUACCCUGGUA
RNAcentral lists this ribosomal RNA (434 nucleotides) under uncultured Ruminococcus sp. RNAcentral describes it as "partial 16S ribosomal RNA". It matches the Rfam family "Bacterial small subunit ribosomal RNA", at positions 341 to 792 of the family's 1533-position model. Lineage: Bacteria; Bacillati; Bacillota; Clostridia; Eubacteriales; Oscillospiraceae. The record is from RNAcentral.